UAGUUGGUGGGGUAAAGGCCUACCAAGGCGACGAUCAGUAGCGGGUCUGAGAGGAUGAUCCGCCACACUGGGACUGAGACACGGCCCAGACUCCUACGGGAGGCAGCAGUGGGGAAUUUUGGACAAUGGGGCAACCCUGAUCCAGCCAUUCCGCGUGAGUGAAGAAGGCCUUCGGGUUGUAAAGCUCUUUCAGCUGGAACGAAACGGUACGUCCUAAUACGGUGUGCUAAUGACGGUACCAGCAGAAGAAGCACCGGCUAACUACGUGCCAGCAGCCGCGGUAAUACGUAGGGUGCGAGCGUUAAUCGGAAUUACUGGGCGUAAAGCGUGCGCAGGCGGAUUGUUAAGCAAGAUGUGAAAUCCCCGGGCUUAACCUGGGAAUGGCAUUUUGAACUGGCAGUCUAGAGUGUGUCAGAGGGGGGUGGAAUUCCACGUGUAGCAGUGAAAUGCGUAGAGAUGUGGAGGAACACCAAUGGCGAAGGCAGCCCCCUGGGAUAACACUGACGCUCAUGUACGAAAGCGUGGGUAGCAAACAGGAUUAGAUACCCUGGUAGUCCACGCCCUAAACGAUGUCAACUGGUUGUUGGGGGAGUGAAAUCCCUUAGUAACGAAGCUAACGCGUGAAGUUGACCGCCUGGGGAGUACGGUCGCAAGAUUAAAACUCAAAGGAAUUGACGGGGACCCGCACAAGCGGUGGAUGAUGUGGAUUAAUUCGAUGCAACGCGAAAAACCUUACCUACCCUUGACAUGUCCAGAACCCUGCAGAGAUGCGGGGGUGCCCGAAAGGGAAUUGGAACACAGGUGCUGCAUGGCUGUCGUCAGCUCGUGUCGUGAGAUGUUGGGUUAAGUCCCGCAACGAGCGCAACCCUUAUCAUUAGUUGCUACGCAAGGGCACUCUAAUGAGACUGCCGG
This 912-nucleotide ribosomal RNA is filed under the name uncultured bacterium. Its description in RNAcentral is "bacterial SSU rRNA". It matches the Rfam family "Bacterial small subunit ribosomal RNA", at positions 246 to 1155 of the family's 1533-position model. The record is from RNAcentral.